CCUACGGGUGGCAGCAGUGGGGAAUAUUGCACAAUGGGGGAAACCCUGAUGCAGCAACGCCGCGUGAGUGAUGACGGCCUUCGGGUUGUAAAGCUCUGUCUUUAGGGACGAUAAUGACGGUACCUGAGGAGGAAGCCAUUGCCAACUACGUGCCAGAAGCCGCGGUAAUACGUAGGUGGCGAGCGUGGUCCGGAUUUACUGGGGGUAAAGGGAGCGUAGGCGGAUUUGUAUGUGUGAUGUGAAAUACUCGGGCUCAACUUGAGUGCUGCAUUUGAAACUGGAAGUCUGGAGGGCAGGAGAGGAGAAUGGAAUUCCUAGUGUAGCGGUGAAAUGCGUAGAGAUUAGGAAGAACACCAGUGGCGAAGGCGAUUCUCUGGACUGUAACUGACGCUGAGGCUCGAAAGCGUGGGGAGCGAACAGGAUUAGAUACCCCGGUAGUC
RNAcentral lists this ribosomal RNA (440 nucleotides) under uncultured bacterium. RNAcentral describes it as "partial 16S ribosomal RNA". It matches the Rfam family "Bacterial small subunit ribosomal RNA", at positions 338 to 795 of the family's 1533-position model. The record is from RNAcentral.